CCUACGGGAGGCAGCAGUGAGGAAUAUUGGUCAAUGGGCGAGAGCCUGAACCAGCCAAGUAGCGUGCAGGAUGACGGCCCUAUGGGUUGUAAACUGCUUUUAUAAGGGAAUAAAGUGAGAGUCGUGACUCUUUUUGCAUGUACCUUAUGAAUAAGGACCGGCUAAUUCCGUGCCAGCAGC
Molecule: ribosomal RNA, 180 nt
Filed under: uncultured bacterium
Lineage: Bacteria
Description: partial 16S ribosomal RNA
Rfam family: Bacterial small subunit ribosomal RNA
Source: RNAcentral